UACGGGGGGAGCAAGCGUUGUUCGGAUUUACUGGGCGUAAAGGGCGCGUAGGCGGCGUGACAAGUCACUUGUGAAAUCUCCGGGCUUAACCCGGAGCGGCCAAGUGAUACUGUCGUGCUAGAGUGCGGAAGGGGCUACUGGAAUUCUCGGUGUAGCGGUGAAAUGCGUAGAUAUCGAGAGGAACACCUGCGGCGAAGGCGGGUCUCUGGGCCGAUACUGACGCUGAGGAGCGAAAGCGUGGGGAGCGAACAGG
RNAcentral lists this ribosomal RNA (253 nucleotides) under uncultured bacterium. Its description in RNAcentral is "partial 16S ribosomal RNA". It matches the Rfam family "Bacterial small subunit ribosomal RNA", at positions 524 to 776 of the family's 1533-position model. The record is from RNAcentral.